GCCCGCCGCCCCGCGCCGCCACCUGCGGGCCGCCCUCCAGGAUGCCCGCCGGCCACGUCCUAGUCGCCUGGAGCCGCGCCCCGCCUUCCUCGCCCGCGGCUGCCCCUGCACUUUUACCCACGCCGUGGGGCACAGAGAAGUAUCCGGGGUCAUAGAGGACAUUGGGAGGACUUGAAGAAGACUCAGACCAGAACCAAAGGUGUAAGGAAACUAAACCCUGCAAAACCUGAUUUCUCAUACUGGCAUAGACUUGACUUGAAGAGAUCAUCAAGUGUAUAGUGAAGAUUGGCUCAGGCAAGAAUCAUCCAUGAAUGCUUACUCUAGGGGGCUGUUACUGGCUGGCAGAUAUUUGUCUGGGUUGAUGUGUCUCCCCAUAGAUGGUUUAGACCUGUUAGUAGCAAAAGCGGAAAUAGUAACUAUACAAAGAGGCAGGCAGACAGCAUCUUAACCAGGUGAUCAAAAUUUACAUCACCAAUGAGAGCAGAUGGAUAUCAUGUCCACAUCAGCUAUGCAGUAUUCCUGGGGACAAUGCAUAACCUGAAUCAUGAUAGUGAAACAUCGGACAAACCCAAAAUGAGGAACAUCUAUUAAAAAGAGGAAGGGUCUGUAUUAUUCAAAAAUGUCAAGGUCAUUAAAAUCAAAAGAAAGCUUGGGAAAUGUUCCAGAUUAAAGGGUGCAAAAGAGUCAGGGCAGCUAAAUGCCAUGCCUGAUCCUAGACUGCAUCCUGUGCUAGAGGAGGGGAAAUACAUCACGGACAUUCCAGCUGACAAAAUCAGAAUCCAUGUAAGAGAUUAAAGUAUUGGAUCAAUGUUAAAUGUACUGAUGUUGAUAACUUCCACUGUAAUUAUGUACAAGAAUAUCUAAUUCUUGGGAAAUACACACUAAAGUAUCUUGAAAGGGUAAAGGUCAUAAUGUAUGCAGCUUACCUUCAAAUGAUUCAGGGGAAAAAAAAUCUUGAUAGGAAAAAAUGAUAAAGCCAAGUGGGCAAUAAAGGUAAGGUGCAUAUUAUCAGUGAAUCAGCAUAUAGAGUGUACUUGAACAUUUCUGUAAGUUUGAACUUAUUUCCAAAUAAAAAGAUUUGGAAAAAUCCA
Homo sapiens (human) is the source of this 1091-nucleotide long non-coding RNA. RefSeq lists it as uncharacterized. The record is from RefSeq and is a predicted model, not a curated record. The transcript has 2 exons. NCBI's taxonomy places the organism in Eukaryota, Metazoa, Chordata, Mammalia, Primates, Hominidae.